AAAGGUUUAAGUUAAAUAAACUAUUAACCUUCAAAGUUAAAAAUAAAAUAAAUUAACCUUUA
RNAcentral lists this transfer RNA (62 nucleotides) under Xenos yangi. RNAcentral describes it as "tRNA-Trp". Lineage: Eukaryota; Metazoa; Arthropoda; Insecta; Strepsiptera; Xenidae. The record is from RNAcentral.